AUGUCGUGAUGGGGGCAUUCUCUUUGGUAUUCCUUGAACCGAUCCCUAGCCUCAAACAAUGACUCAUCUCGUUUUUGCUCAAAUGAUUGCAUUUUGUGCCU
This 101-nucleotide small nucleolar RNA is filed under the name Spinacia oleracea (spinach). Its description in RNAcentral is "Plant small nucleolar RNA R71". It matches the Rfam family "Plant small nucleolar RNA R71". From Rfam's summary of the family: R71 is a member of the C/D box family of snoRNAs containing the C (UGAUGA) and D (CUGA) box motifs. Multiple nearly identical copies of this snoRNA have been identified in Arabidopsis, and it is thought to function as a 2'-O-ribose methylation guide for 18S ribosomal RNA. Lineage: Eukaryota; Viridiplantae; Streptophyta; Magnoliopsida; Caryophyllales; Amaranthaceae. The record is from Rfam by way of RNAcentral.